UAGGGUGUAGCUCAGUGGUAGAGCACAUAAUUAGCAUGCAUAAGGGCCUGGGCUCAAUUCCCAAUACCCCUA
This 72-nucleotide transfer RNA is filed under the name Ictidomys tridecemlineatus (thirteen-lined ground squirrel). Its description in RNAcentral is "Spermophilus tridecemlineatus (thirteen-lined ground squirrel) tRNA". It matches the Rfam family "tRNA". Rfam says of the family: Transfer RNA (tRNA) molecules are approximately 80 nucleotides in length. Their secondary structure includes four short double-helical elements and three loops (D, anti-codon, and T loops). Further hydrogen bonds mediate the characteristic L-shaped molecular structure. tRNAs have two regions of fundamental functional importance: the anti-codon, which is responsible for specific mRNA codon recognition, and the 3' end, to which the tRNAs corresponding amino acid is attached (by aminoacyl-tRNA synthetases). tRNAs cope with the degeneracy of the genetic code in two manners: having more than one tRNA (with a specific anti-codon) for a particular amino acid; and 'wobble' base-pairing, i.e. permitting non-standard base-pairing at the 3rd anti-codon position. The record is from Rfam by way of RNAcentral. Lineage: Eukaryota; Metazoa; Chordata; Mammalia; Rodentia; Sciuridae.